GACGAACCUUGCUAACGUUAUUCGGAAUCACUGGGCUUAAAGGGUGCGUAGGCUGUGCAGUAAGUUGGGUGUGAAAUCCCUCGGCUUAACCGAGGAACUGCGCCCAAAACUACUGUGCUUGAGGGAGAUAGAGGUGAGCGGAACUGAGGGUGGAGCGGUGAAAUGCGUUGAUAUCCUCAGGAACACCCGUGGCGAAAGCGGCUCACUGGGUCUCUUCUGACGCUGAGGCACGAAAGCUAGGGGAGCAAACGGG
This 253-nucleotide ribosomal RNA is filed under the name uncultured bacterium. RNAcentral describes it as "partial 16S ribosomal RNA". It matches the Rfam family "Bacterial small subunit ribosomal RNA", at positions 524 to 776 of the family's 1533-position model. The record is from RNAcentral.